GGAAAGGUCAGGCUCCUGGCUGUGGGUUGACUGCUAGCCAAAGCAGGAACUAACCCUGAAGAAGACAGAAAAUGUGCUAUCAAGUAACUCUAAUAAAGCAAAGACUAUGCCAUAUUACACUGCUGCAAGAAAAAUAAAAGCGACAAUCCUAAAUCAAUAGUAAUUUUAGCAAUAUUGAUAGCGCUCUUUAAAAUUACCACUCUGACCGCAAAACAGAGCUCUGUCUCAUCAGCUGCAAAGGCCACAGCGGACUGAGAUCUAUUCACUAAUGUGAGUGGAUUUUCCAUCCCAGGAGUCUGUGCCGGGUUCCAGCCAGUGACAUAAGUACUCAGGCAGUCCUCUCUGAUCUCAGAUGUUAAAAUGUUCAUUCUUUACUUAAAAGUCAGAAGCCACAAAAUAAUUUUGCUACUUCUUGAAUAGUGCAUUAACACCAAACCUGUUGCGCCCCACCCUAUGUACCACAUGCAGGCAGAAGUCCUACUGAAAGAACUGAGGUUUUAUCUUGCAUUUGGACAGUAGGGUCAAACCACGUAACUUCAGUUACAUGGUCCUACAUCCAUCGCAACGGUAAAGUGGAUCGCAAUGGCAAAAGUUAGAAGCAUUAUAAGAGAAGAAGUGAGAAACCAGGCACUUGGAAAGAAAGCUCACUCUUAGAUUUCAGCUGCCAGCUCAAAGCUGUAGGUGAUACGUUGCAAGAAGACACCUAAACAUGCCAUUCACUUUCAUUUCAAG
Long non-coding RNA from Chelonia mydas (Green sea turtle), 732 nucleotides. RefSeq lists it as uncharacterized. The record is from RefSeq and is a predicted model, not a curated record. NCBI's taxonomy places the organism in Eukaryota, Metazoa, Chordata, Testudines, Cheloniidae. The transcript is spliced from 4 exons.